AGUUAAUGAACUUGAAUAAGUAUAUACUUUGAAAGUAUAAAAAAGGAGGACAAACUCCUAUUAACUU
Molecule: transfer RNA, 67 nt
Filed under: Acmaeodera sp. NCS-2009
Lineage: Eukaryota; Metazoa; Arthropoda; Insecta; Coleoptera; Buprestidae
Description: tRNA-Ser
Source: RNAcentral